RNAcentral lists this long non-coding RNA (1143 nucleotides) under Brachypodium distachyon (stiff brome). RNAcentral describes it as "long non-coding RNA (BDIS_LNC004610)". Lineage: Eukaryota; Viridiplantae; Streptophyta; Magnoliopsida; Poales; Poaceae. The record is from RNAcentral.
UUGAGAGUGGGAUAACAUGACUUCCCAAAUAUAUAUAUAUAUAUAGUUGGAAACAUCUCCGAUGGUUUACAUGGUUUGUGAUUCGGUGUUACAAAGCUAUUUGGGAAUUUAUUGAACCAUAUAAUUAUUAUGAGAUUUUAUUUAGAGUUCAACCAAAUGGGGUAUUUAGCUAAGGAAGGGUUUUAGUGCAAAGUAUGCCAACCCAAUAUGUUUAUUGGAGUUUAAACUAAUUUAUGAAACAAAGGUUUCAUAAUAGAUUUCAAAAUAUAUUUUAUUUAUUACUUAUAAAGCCCUAAUGACAUUUAUAUAAGCAAAAAUAUUUUUAUUUAUUUUAUUUUGGAAGGAAUCAAGUCCCAAAAGCUCACACUUUGGAGGAUUUGAAUUUACAAAUUUUCUGGAGUUUAUUUGGACUUAUUUGGAGAUAAAAACAGAAAAAAAAAGGAAUUGGACCGACCCAACUGGGCCGGCCCAUCUCCCCAGCGCCCAGCCCACCUCCCUCUUUCUUUUUUUUCCCUUUUUUUUUCUUCUUGGGCCGCACCCCUUCUGGCCCAUCUCCCCUAGCGCUCUAGCCCAGCCCAACCGAGAGCGUCUUCCUCCUCUGUUCGUUCUUAGAAGCACGCAGGGGCAGGCAAUGCCGUCACCGCCGGAGAUUCCGCCCCCGACCGUGCCCGCUCGCCCCAAACCCCGUCCAGGUUCACUGAACCGAAUCCCCAGCAUCUCCUCUCCCUAAUCCCCUCCUCAAUCUCCCCCGAAUCACGCCCACUUUCUUCAAUCCCCGUGACCGGCGCCCCGAAUGCCGCCCGUCGACAUUCAAUGCCCGAGCUCCCUCCUCGGCCUAUAAAUGACGAUUCCGAGCGCGUCACUUCAAACCUUUGGCCAUCCUCCCCAUUUUCCUACGGAGAGUUUUUCCUAUAGACCUCGUAGAUCGCAUGUCGUGGCCUUCUUCCUCCGCCGUUCGUCGCUUUCGUUCUCGAAGGUGAGGUCGCUCCAAAGCGCGGUUCGUCGAUUCCUUUCACCGGUGCACUCCCGUGACCAUCUCCUACCUCUUUGACAAGGUUGUUCGAGCCAUCUCCGACGUUGUCUGCGUCUUCGCCGACCGCAAGCCGACGCCGCACCCGGAGCCCCGCCCGUCGCCAUCCGGAG